UUUCCGUAGGUGAACCAGCGGAAGGAUCAUUCAUAAUAAGUGUUUUACUGCACUUUUUAAAAAUAGUACUCACCUUGUGUGCAAUGUUGUGUUUCUUUUCGGAGAAACACCUACACCAACCUAUAACCUUGAACCACUUUGUCUGAAAAACUAUUAUGAAUACUUAAUUCAAAAUACAACUUUCAACAACGGAUCUCUUGGCUCUC
This 206-nucleotide unclassified non-coding RNA is filed under the name plant metagenome. RNAcentral's name for it is "partial contains small subunit ribosomal RNA, internal transcribed spacer 1, and 5.8S ribosomal RNA". The record is from RNAcentral.